UGAGGCAAAGAACCUCACCCCCCAACUGGUGCAUAGGCCUAUCCACAAGUAUGGCUGCAUGCUGGACCAGUAGUCAGUGAUGGGUAUGAUCCAAUUGCAGUGGUACCAACCUAAGACAGGAGGCUGACGCCUAGAGGUCAGCUCAUCCAAUGACGGGUAAGGACCAUGUGUAGUAUUGGCCAGCCUAACAGGCAUGGUCCCAAGCCACAUUGCUUAUUGUUUAAUUAAACAGAAGGGGGGAGAUGUUGAGGGCCACAGCCGUGUCGGGAUGAUGCAUGGCAUUUUUGCCAGAAGUAGUUGUUGAUAGGUGACGCCAGCGAGUUCUCCCAGAGUUACUGUCGAGUUCCAGUUGAGCUCUCCAGGGGAUUCCCGGAGAGUUCCCAUUGGUUGGGGAAGUGCCGGAGGAGGGAUAUUUCUGGUUGCUGGUUCCUAGACGAGCCACGUGGCAUUCCAGAGAAUUCCCGGGGAGCAUGUGUGGAGUGUGCUGGUGGAGUUCAGAAAUAAAGUUUGUUCCUGCUUCA
Molecule: long non-coding RNA, 521 nt
Filed under: Marmota monax (woodchuck)
Lineage: Eukaryota; Metazoa; Chordata; Mammalia; Rodentia; Sciuridae
Source: RNAcentral